CCUACGGGAGGCAGCAGUGAGGAAUAUUGGUCAAUGGCCGGAAGGCUGAACCAGCCAAGCCGCGUGAAGGACGAAGGUGCCAAGCAUUGUAAACUUCUUUUGUCAAGGGACAAAAUCAGGCUCGAGAGCCUGACCGAGGGUACUUGAAGAAAAAGCAUCGGCUAACUCCGUGCCAGCAGCCGGGGUAAUACGGAGGAUGCGAGCGUUAUCCGGAUUGAUUGGGGUUAAGGGGGGCGUAGGCGGACUGUUAGGUCAGCGGUAAAAGCCCGGGGCCCAACCCCGGCGAGCCGUGGAAACUGGCUGUCUUGAGAGGACGAGAGGUAUGUGGAAUGCGCAGUGUAGCGGUGAAAUGCGUAGAUAUUGGGCAGAACUCCGAUUGCGAAGGCAGCAUACCGGCGGCGAUCUGACGCUGAGGCACGAAAGCGUGGGUAGCGAACAGGAUUAGAUACCCUUGUAGUC
Molecule: ribosomal RNA, 459 nt
Filed under: uncultured bacterium
Lineage: Bacteria
Description: partial 16S ribosomal RNA
Rfam family: Bacterial small subunit ribosomal RNA
Source: RNAcentral